RNAcentral lists this ribosomal RNA (275 nucleotides) under uncultured bacterium. Its description in RNAcentral is "partial 16S ribosomal RNA". It matches the Rfam family "Bacterial small subunit ribosomal RNA", at positions 399 to 691 of the family's 1533-position model. The record is from RNAcentral.
GCGUGAGUGAAGAAGGCCUUAGGGUUGUAAAGCUCUUUUACCAGGGAAGAUAAUGACGGUACCUGGAGAAUAAGCCCCGGCAAACUUCGUGCCAGCAGCCGCGGUAAUACGAAGGGGGCUAGCGUUGUUCGGAUUUACUGGGCGUAAAGCGCACGUAGGCGGUUUGAUAAGUCGGGGGUGAAAUCCUGGGGCUCAACCUCAGAAUUGCCUUCGAUACUGUCGAUCUAGAGGCCAGAAGAGGUUAGUGGAAUUCCCAGUGUAGAGGUGAAAUUCGU